Molecule: long non-coding RNA, 432 nt
Organism: Mastomys coucha (southern multimammate mouse)
Lineage: Eukaryota; Metazoa; Chordata; Mammalia; Rodentia; Muridae
Exons: 3
Source: RefSeq, a predicted model, not a curated record
GUAAAGUCCAAGAUCAAGGAGGCUGAAGUCGAGUACUGGUAAAGGUUGCUCUUCUUUACCUAUUGCAUCUUUGCUUCAUGGGGGAGCCAGUGCAGAAUCCUCACUUUGUGGAAGGGCAACAGAGAGAACCUGCUCCAUCUUGCAGAUCAGAUGUUAGGUCCCAACACUAUGCCUGACUAUCUUGCCUGCUUACCUGCCUGCCUGCCUCCACACUUCCCACUAUGAUGAUCAUGGACGAACCCUCAGAAACUUCUGUUUCAGAUAUAAUGCUACCCAGAUGUGAGUAGUGUGGAACUGGAAGGCCUCCACAGGGUCUGUGAGUUAAAGCACAAUCUUCAGUCAGGGGUGCUAUGAAGAGGAAGAGGAGGAGGACGAUGACCUUAAAGAUGUGGAGCCUAUUAAUAAAAAAUGAGGUUGUGGUAAGCCCAAAGU